RNAcentral lists this ribosomal RNA (900 nucleotides) under uncultured Actinomycetes bacterium. RNAcentral describes it as "bacterial SSU rRNA". It matches the Rfam family "Bacterial small subunit ribosomal RNA", at positions 8 to 918 of the family's 1533-position model. Lineage: Bacteria; Bacillati; Actinomycetota; Actinomycetes. The record is from RNAcentral.
AGAGUUUGAUCCUGGCUCAGGACGAACGCUGGCGGCGUGCUUAACACAUGCAAGUCGAACGGUGAAGGCGGAGCUUGCUCUGCUGGAUCAGUGGCGAACGGGUGAGUAGCACGUGGGCAACCUGCCCCUCACUUCGGGAUGACUCCGGGAAACCGGGGCUAAUACCGAAUACGACCUCUGCGGGCAUCCGCGGAGGUGGAAAGUUUUUCGGUGAGGGAUGGGCCCGCGGCCUAUCAGCUUGUUGGUGAGGUAGUGGCUCACCAAGGCGACGACGGGUAGCCGGCCUGAGAGGGCGACCGGCCUCACUGGGACUGAGACACGGCCCAGACUCCUACUGGAGGCAGCAGUGGGGAAUAUUGCGCAAUGGGCGAAAGCCUGACGCAGCAACGCCGCGUGCGGGAUGACGGCCUUCGGGUUGUAAACCGCUUUCGGCAGGGAAGAAGCGAAAGUGACGGUACCUGCAGAAGAAGCACCGGCUAACUACGUGCCAGCAGCCGCGGUAAUACGUAGGGUGCAAGCGUUGUCCGGAUUUAUUGGGCGUAAAGAGCUCGUAGGCGGUUAGUCACGUCGGAUGUGAAAACCCGGGGCUUAACUCCGGGCCUGCAUUCGAUACGGGCUGACUCGAGUGUUGUAGGGGAGACUGGAAUUCCUGGUGUAGCGGUGAAAUGCGCAGAUAUCAGGAGGAACACCGAUGGCGAAGGCGGGUCUCUGGGCAACUACUGACGCUGAGGAGCGAAAGCGUGGGGAGCAAACAGGAUUAGAUACCCUGGUAGUCCACGCCGUAAACGGUGGGCGCUAGGUGUGGGGAACAUUCCACGUUCUCCGUGCCGCAGCUAACGCAUUAAGCGCCCCGCCUGGGGAGUACGGCCGCAAGGCUAAAACUCAAAGGAAUUGACGGGG